This is a long non-coding RNA of Serinus canaria (Common canary), 683 nucleotides long. RefSeq lists it as uncharacterized. The record is from RefSeq and is a predicted model, not a curated record. The transcript has 3 exons. Lineage: Eukaryota; Metazoa; Chordata; Aves; Passeriformes; Fringillidae.
CCCGUACCUGUUCACGUGGGCACUGUGGGUCCCCCAGCCCAUACCUGUUCAUGUGGGCAGGACAAGGAUUAAAGAACCUGCCCAGGAUGUUUUGGUGGUGCCCAGGUGACUCCAGCCCGUACCUGUUCACGUGGGCACUGUGGGUCCCCCAGCCCAUACCUGUUCACGUGGGCAGGACAAGGAUUAACGAACCUGCCCAGGAUGUUUUGGUGGUGCCCAGGUGAGCCCGUACCUGUUCACGUGGGCAGGACAAGGAUUAAUGAACCUGCCCAGGAUGUUCUGCUGGUGCCCAGGUGAGCCCAGCCCGUACCAAGGAUUAAAGAACCUGCCCAGGAUGUUUUGGUGGUGCCCAGGUGAGCCCAUACCUGUUUACGUGGGCAGGACAAGGAUUAAUGAACCUGCCCAGGAUGUUUUGGUGGUGCCCAGGUGAGCCCAGGUGACUCCAGCCCGUACCUGUUCACGUGGGCACUGUGGGUCCCCCAGCCCAUACCUGUUCACGUGGGCAGGACAAGGAUUAACGAACCUGCCCAGGAUGUUUUGGUGGUGCCCAGGUGAGCCCGUACCUGUUCAUGUGGGCAGGCCCGUAGCCCCCGAUGGCGUAGAUCAUGCCGUCCAGCACGGCGGCAGCGAAGCAGCUCCGUGUCCUGCUCAUGGGUGCCACCAGCUGCCACUCCUUGCCCUUG